This 976-nucleotide ribosomal RNA is filed under the name Clostridioides difficile. RNAcentral describes it as "bacterial LSU rRNA". It matches the Rfam family "Bacterial large subunit ribosomal RNA", at positions 683 to 1665 of the family's 2925-position model. The record is from RNAcentral. Lineage: Bacteria; Bacillati; Bacillota; Clostridia; Peptostreptococcales; Peptostreptococcaceae.
UUUAACUGAGCGUUCAGUUACUUGACGUAGACCCGAAACCGGGCGACCUACCCAUGAGCAGGAUGAAGCGAAAGUAAAAUUUCGUGGAGGUCCGAACCCACGAGCGUUGAAAAGCUCGGGGAUGACUUGUGGGUAGCGGUGAAAUUCCAAUCGAGCCCGGAGAUAGCUGGUUCUCCCCGAAAUAGCUUUAGGGCUAGCCUCAAGGUGAGAGAUACGGAGGUAGAGCACUGAAUGUCCUAGGGGGUAUUGCACCUACCGAAGACUAUCAAACUCCGAAUGCCGUCAUCUUAUACUUGGGAGUCAGACUGUGGGUGAUAAGAUUCAUAGUCGAAAGGGCAACAGCCCAGAUCGUCAGCUAAGGUCCCUAAAUGUAAGUUAAGUGGUAAAGGAUGUGGGAUUGCACAGACAACCAGGAUGUUCGCUUAGCAGCAGCCACUCAUUCAAAGAGUGCGUAAUAGCUCACUGGUCGAGUGAUCCUGCGCCGAAGAUGUCCGGGGCUAAAACUUACUACCGAAGCUACGGCAUCAGUAAUGAGGGGUAGGGGAGCUUCCCAUACGGGUUGAAGCAUGACCGUAAGGACAUGUGGACAGUAUGGGAGUGAGAAUGUUGGCAUGAGUAGCGAGAUGUGGGUGAGAAGCCCACAGGCCGUAAACCCAAGGUGUCCAGGGGAAGGUUCGUCCGCCCUGGGUUAGUCGGGACCUAAGCUGAGGCCGAAAGGCGUAGGUGAUGGACAACAGGUUGAUAUUCCUGUACUACCGAUAACCGUUUGAGAGAUGGGAUGACACAGUAGGAUAAGCUAAGCACACUGUUGGUUAUGUGUGCCCAAGCAUUGAGGCAGUCAAAGUAGGCAAAUCCGCUUUGAUAAUGCUGGGAUGUGAUGGGGAGCGAAAUUUAGUAGCGAAGUAGCUGAUUUCACACUGUCAAGAAAAGUCUCUAUCGAGGUUAAAGGUACCCGUACCGCAAACCGACACAGGUG